This 780-nucleotide ribosomal RNA is filed under the name uncultured Solirubrobacterales bacterium. RNAcentral's name for it is "bacterial SSU rRNA". It matches the Rfam family "Bacterial small subunit ribosomal RNA", at positions 8 to 796 of the family's 1533-position model. Lineage: Bacteria; Bacillati; Actinomycetota; Thermoleophilia; Solirubrobacterales. The record is from RNAcentral.
AGAGUUUGAUCCUGGCUCAGGACGAACGCUGGCGGCGUGCUUAACACAUGCAAGUGGAGCGACGAACCAGGGCUUGCCCUGGGGCAGAGCCGCGAACGGGUGAGUAACACGUGGGUAACGUGCCCCGAUGACUGGGACAACCCGGGGAAACCCGGGCUAAUACCAGAUGUGCCCCCUCACAUCAGUGAGGUGUGUAAAGGAAGCUUCGGCCUCCGCAUCGGGAUCGGCCCGCGGCCCAUUAGCUUGUUGGUGAGGUAACGGCUCACCAAGGCUGCGAUGGGUAGCUGGUCUGAGAGGACGAUCAGCCACACUGGGACUGAGACACGGCCCAGACUCCUACGGGAGGCAGCAGUGGGGAAUCUUGCGCAAUGGGCGAAAGCCUGACGCAGCAACGCCGCGUGGGGGAUGAAGGCUCUCGGGUUGUAAACCUCUUUCAGCGGGGACGAAGCGAGAGUGACGGUACCCGCAGAAGAAGCCCCGGCCAACUACGUGCCAGCAGCCGCGGUAAUACGUAGGGGGCGAGCGUUGUCCGGAUUUAUUGGGCGUAAAGGGCUCGUAGGUGGCUUGGCAAGUCGGACGUAAAAGUCCAGGGCUCAACCCUGGGAUGCGUUCGAUACUGCUUGGCUAGAGGCCGGUAGGGGGAUCUGGAAUUCCUGGUGUAGCGGUGAAAUGCGCAGAUAUCAGGAGGAACACCGGUGGCGAAGGCGGGAUCCUGGGCCGGACCUGACACUGAUGAGCGAAAGCGUGGGGAGCGAACAGGAUUAGAUACCCCCGUAGUCC